Molecule: non-coding RNA, 166 nt
Filed under: Mediterraneibacter massiliensis
Lineage: Bacteria; Bacillati; Bacillota; Clostridia; Lachnospirales; Lachnospiraceae
Description: Lysine riboswitch
Rfam family: Lysine riboswitch aptamer
About the family: Riboswitches are metabolite binding domains within certain messenger RNAs that serve as precision sensors for their corresponding targets. Allosteric rearrangement of mRNA structure is mediated by ligand binding, and this results in modulation of gene expression.
Source: RNAcentral
GUAGAUAGAGGUUGCAUUUUUCAUCAGUAGGAUGCCGGAUGUUUCAGGGACAGAAGAAGACAUUCCAAAGGGAAAGAUGCCGAAAGGAGAAAGUGCCUGACAUUUUUUCCUUGGGCAUGGCGUGAAAAACGACAUGACUGUCAUCGCAAGAUGGAGAGCUAUCUGA